CGCGCAGGCUGUGCUGCAAGUCAGCUGUGAAAUAUCUGGGCUUAACCUGGAUAUGCGGUUGAGACUGCAGUGCUGGAGUGCUGUAGAGGCAAGUGGAAUUCCCAGUGUAGCGGUGAAAUGCGUAGAUAUUGGGAAGAACACCGGUGGCGAAGGCGACUUGCUGGGCAGCAACUGACGCUGAGCGCGAAAGCCAGGGGAGCGAAACG
This 206-nucleotide ribosomal RNA is filed under the name uncultured bacterium. RNAcentral's name for it is "partial 16S ribosomal RNA". It matches the Rfam family "Bacterial small subunit ribosomal RNA", at positions 568 to 775 of the family's 1533-position model. The record is from RNAcentral.